UGUUGGUUGAAAUUUGCUAGAGAUUCACCUCAGCAAAGAGCCCAUGGAUUUGUCCUAUGCUCCCUCUGCAGAAGCAAAUACCAGGGGAGUGGCUGUCACUAGUCUGAAGGUCACCCACAGGCUUGGAGGCCAGGGACAGGUACCGGGCAAGCUUACCACCUCACACCCAGACAGGGUACUGUCUGUCACUGGGUAAAGAGGACCUGAGGUCAGUCACAGGUUUCUGGAAAAGGGGACCCUCUCUUAUACCUUUGGGCUUUAGCUGAGCUUCAAUUCAAGUUGGUGGUCAGAGACCUCACGAAAGGAUUAAUGAUCAAGCCACACUCAUCUUUGUGGCCAUGACCCUUCUCCCAGUUGGUCCUCAACAGUCACCAGCUUAGGAACCAGCUUCAACCAUCGGCUUGGCAGUCAGGGUCACACAGGAGAGCCAGGGAAGGAGAGUGUGGGGAUGCUUAGGAUGUCCAGGGCCAGAUGAGUCAUCUGGGGACUGGUCAGCUGGACCACAAUUCUCUUUCUCCAGUCUGUUCUAAGCAGUGUAAAGAUUUGAGACCGAUACUGGCACCCAACUGAGGAAAUCAUAGGGGCUUUUCCGAGGGCUAGGACUUCUGCCCUGUAGAGGAAAAGGUUGCCAAAAACCUUCAAUAUGCUAGAACGCUAUUGAGUUGUCUUGGAUUGACUUCUGGCACAGGGCUCAGCAUAUCAUGAGAUCACAGCAGAUGCAGGCCGCUUUCCUGGAUCCACUGCCAUGGCUUCCAAAUGCUCACAGAGAGGAGAAAGAGGAUGCUACUCUUCAUCGGCCACAGCAAAAAACGAACUAGACUCCGCCGUAGAGAUAUCAGGUUGCUUCUGAACCUGUGCUGAGGAGGGAACGUUCCAGUCCUCAAGUGGUAAUGAAAGACCGUGCACUGACCUAUGAGGUGGCAGUCAUUGCAGACUGCAGAGGCAAAGCUUCACGCUGCAAGGCUUGGACUCUCCAAACAGCCGUCUGCAGAGGAGACUGGGGCUGAGAAAAGCCAUCAAUUUCCCUUCCAUUUCAAUCUGAAGAGGAAGCUUCCUUGGCCGAGAAAGGGUCGCUCCUUGUUGUAAUAAUAUCUGACAGGAAAGUGACUUGAAGGUUCACUUGGGCUUAACUACUGGGAAAUAAUACCAGAAAAGGGCCAGAGACAUGGAGACAGUUUGGCUCCCCGUGCUGAGAGGGUGACGUCAGCCGUGCAGAUAAAUUCCAAAGGAUCCAUUGCCCCUCAAACAAUGUUUUACUAGCUUGUAAAAUGUUCCAAAGCUCUGUCCAUCCUGACAACUCCUGGGGGCUAUCCAGGACAUUCUGGAAAGUUACAGUAAGAAAGUGUCUGUCCAGUUCUCCUUCACCCAGAGCCUAAUUUCUUUUUAGACUUAGCCUAAUUUCUCUCUGCUGCGUGAGUCACUGUUAAACGGGAACACUUGUUUCAGCCUUAAUACUGAAUGUCAGGCAAGAGAGCAUGGAAAAAUGAGCAGAGCGUAGAUUGCAAUCGGAAAGCAUGCCGGAGCUCGAUGACGGCCACAGCAUUCAAGUGGCUCCCUCCGACUUCCUGUGCCUUCGCUGGGUCACCGGGCAAGCCCUGCCGAUGGGCGUUCUUGCUUUCAACCUCCACAUUAGCAAAGCAACAUAAAUAAAACCAGGAGAUAAGUUGCUCAAGAAUAGUUAGCGGAAGAGCUGUUACUAAUCAUUCUCGAUGUCAUUUGUGAAAAGAGAAAGGGGAAUUCGAGACAAUAAAAGCAGAGAGGGAAGGGUCCAAGGACCAUCAGGAAGAGCUCCUCGAGUUCUAUGAAGACCUAAUGUUAUUUAGUGGGUCCUGGUCCCAAGAGACAGAGACACAGUCCAUCCAACCCAGUCAUGAUUCCUUUAUAGAGGCUGCAAGCUAGGUUUAUAAAGAGCUCUUGAAGAUAUAUAAUGUCUGACUUGUUGCUGACAGAGCCGAGUUCUGUCUCAUUAUUGCUGUUUUCCAGGCGAGGAACCAGACACUUGGAGAAGGUACCUUGCCCAAUGUCAUCCAGCUAAUAAGUAGUAAAAACAGACCACCCAGCAACCUAGCUCAUCUGAGUCCAAGUGAAUGCUCUUUGCCCUACAUUUCCGAACUUCAUAAAUAGAUGAGUUAACCAGAGCUUGUGUCAUUGGACAUCAAAGGAGACAUUUGUCAAAAGAGACCAAGUGUGCACUCGGGCAACUGAGUUUAGAGGAGGGUUCACUAAAAUCUCCCCCACCUACUCACACAAAAUGUGAAUGACAGAUCACGCUAGAGGAGAUGCCUCGAAGAAACCUGGCCAUGGGGGUUGAGGGUAGCACUACAAGCCAGGAAAUCCCCUUGAAACUGAUGACUGUCCAAAUAGUUCACUGGGAUCUCAGAUCCCAGAAUCUCAGGGAAGCCCUGGUCUUCUCCGGCUUCUGGAUGUUAAAACCCGGUCCUAAGGAUACAAACUUGGACUCUGUUCCCAGGGUACCAUUCACACAAACUCAAGAGUUUCUCUUUCUGCUACACUCAACCUUCCCAGAACUGUCUCAAGAGGUGAAGAGGGGACAAAAUAAUGCCCCCAGGUGUGGACUCUAGGGUAGGUAUGACCUCCUCAGGAGCCCAGGCCAAGGCAAAGUGGCUCAUUUUGGCCAAUACAGUCAGCAAGCCCAGAUGGUAGGGGAAAAAGGCGGAAAACCAGUAGGCAAGGAAAAUGCACUGUCAUCCAAGAACAAUAAAGUUUAUGUAUUCCCAGACGUGGGUCCUCCCACCUAAUCAAAGCCAAGGCCUACACCAGUGAAAAGAACUUUUCUCCAGCAAAAUGGGGAAGCAGCUUGUUUGGGUGCUAAAUUUAGAUUUUACCCACAGGGGAUGUGCUCUGGUUCUCUGGGGUUGCUUACAGAACAGGCACAAGGUCAGUGUCCCUGCUGGCUCCGCUUCAACGGUCUCACAUACCCUGCGCCAUCUUGUCCGUGGGCUUGGGCUCUGCCCCAGGCUUGCUCACAACUUGACCAUGUUUGCUUUUGCUCACUGUGUGUCGGCUCUGUCUUGACAUCACCAGGGAGCAGCUGCUCAAUACCCAUUGCUCCAAAGACCAGGGUUCGAAGAAGUCAGAGAGUGACCAAAGGCUAAGCCUCUUCCCUACCCAGGUAAACUAAGGGGAUCUUGGGAAGACUCUAUUGAAGGAGCAACAUUUAGCAAAGAAACCAAAUGACUGGAAUGCAGGGAAUUAAAUGGUUGCACAGAAAGAGCAAUGGCUUACCACAGUUACACGGGCAGCAGUGAGAGCACUGAACGGGGUACACCCCUGCAGUGGAGAAACGCCCUCCUCCACGUACAGCCCACCUACCAGCAGUGGCCUCUCUCCUUCACCAAUGCUUUUAGGAAUGCUUUUCUCAAGCAUGGCAGACUUUCAGGGAAGUUGAGGGGGAAGUGAGUGUGGUUCCCACCAAAGCAAGUCAGACAUUUUGUUUCUUGAUCUUCCUUCUCAACUACGCUGAAAGAUGAGGAUGGGGGUGGGGAUGCUCUCACCCUCCGGAUUUCUCCUCUCACUUUUUUUUUCUUUUAAAGAUUUAUUUAUCAUACUCACUGUAGCUGUCUUCAGACACACCAGAAGAGGGCAUCAGAUCUCAUUACAGAGGGUUGUGAGCCACCAUGUGGUUGCUGGGAAUUGAACUCAGGACCUCUGGAAGAGCAGUCAGUGCUCUGAACCUCUGAGCCAUCUCUCCAGCCCUCUCCUGUCACCUUAACCUGCCACCUCCUACUACAUCCCGCUCUGUCCCCAUCAGAACUGAUAAAUUCAGGAAGGGCUUGCAAGGCUUGGGCUGGUGAUAGUCUUGUUGAUGCUUCCUUAAUCCCUGGCUGCUUUCACUAACAGACAUAAUCAGUGACCCCACCCCUAACCCCCCUACACACUCUUUAUUUUCAGAGGAAGCAGGGCUGCCUCCAUCCAGAACAGGACUCCUGGCUGGCUGGUUGAGAUAUGUCCCUCAACUGUCCUAGACUGGCUCAGCAGGUCAGCACUUUCGAGAACUGUCCUUAGCCAGUUCACCAUGAGCGCGCAAUGUCCACCAAGUAGACCAUGUGGAUGUUGCCUCGGAAGCAAGUCAUCGGUCUUGAGCUCUGAGGCUUGCUGGGCCAAGCAGGAAAAUUAAGACCACAAAUCCUGCUAAACAAAGUAGAUAUGCUUUUCAUUAGCUAGACACUUCCUGAAGGGGCUUGCAUUACAACAGCACAACGUACUAAACAAGAGGGCUGGGAGCCUACUGGGUGACUGCAGUGGACAUGUGUGCUCCCUUCAAAACCAAGCACACACAAAUAACUAAGUUACCAUGCGAAGACACUGGAACCAGCAGGCAGGAGCUGUCGCCCUCUACUGGAUGGAAUGUCACAAGAAUGCCAGGCUUUCAUACUUGGCAACUGCCUGGAUGGUUUGUUACCUCUCAAGGAUGGAGGUGCUUUCCUUGGUGGUCUUGGUGAGCUUCCCACGGAGGAGGGAGAGCAGAAAGAGGAGAGGAGGGCUGGAGAGAUGGCUCAGCGGUUAAGUGUGCUGACUGCUCUUCCAGAGGUCCUGAGUUCAAUUCCCAGCAACUACUUGGUGGCUCACAACCAUCUGGGAUCCGAUGUUCUCCUGGUACAUCUGACAGCUACAGUGUACUCCUAAAAAUAAAUAAAUAAAUAUUUUUAAAAAAGGAGAAAAUGAGACAGUGACAAGACAUCAUGGUACUGCCUUGCAAAGUGCCUUCAUGCAGACCAUCACCUGAACCUCUAAUGUCCCUGACAGAUGUGUUAUUGCCAAUAGACACUUUAACAGAGUAUAAACCAGAGCCAGAAAGGGGUAAGGACAUGAUUUGACUCUGGCUUUCUAAUCCAACCUAGAAUAGCUUCCUUCUACUCCCUUCUUGUCUGCUAGAUUGUAUUUACUAAACAUUUACUUGCAAGGAACCUGGCUCUCUAAAGGUAGGGACUAGCAGAGGGCAGGGCAAAGCAAAAUCUCUUACGGGGCUCUCCUGGGGCUGUAGAAAAAGAGUAAACGAAUAAUAUUGUGAUGUCAAAAAGGAAUAAUACUGAGGGAUUUUUUUUUUAAGUAAUGGGGCAGAUUGGCACAGCAAUGUGGGAGUGGCCCCUGGAGUCCGUAGCAGACUGCCUCUGGUCACUGACAUAGCAGAGGUUCCACCACGGGAAAGAGAGCUCCACUCUACAGCAUCUGUACGACCUGAUUCCUUGACACUCACCAGACCACUUACACAGGUUGAGCUGCUUUGCUAUGUGAAAACCUGGAAACCGCUCAGGAGAAUGAUAGAUGCUGUGCUCCACCUGCACGACUGAGUGCUACUUAGCUGCCCAAAGGAAGAAAUUAUUGAUUUGUAAAACAACAUUGGGUGUUUAUAGGAGGGGCAUUACGCUGAAUAAAAGAAGCCAA
Molecule: non-coding RNA, 5406 nt
Organism: Rattus norvegicus (Norway rat)
Lineage: Eukaryota; Metazoa; Chordata; Mammalia; Rodentia; Muridae
Source: RefSeq, a predicted model, not a curated record